RNAcentral lists this non-coding RNA (114 nucleotides) under Lotharella globosa. Lineage: Eukaryota; Cercozoa; Chlorarachniophyceae. The record is from RNAcentral.
AAGAAGAAAAACUGAAAAAGCAACGAAUGCCAAGACUAGGGGAAAAAAUAAAAUUUUGUGUCAUUUUGUGUUCUUCGGGUUGGUGGUUGGUGUUCUUGUUUUCUUUUCUUUUUU